RNAcentral lists this ribosomal RNA (262 nucleotides) under Simplicimonas similis. RNAcentral's name for it is "partial 18S ribosomal RNA". It matches the Rfam family "Eukaryotic small subunit ribosomal RNA", at positions 231 to 502 of the family's 1831-position model. The record is from RNAcentral. Lineage: Eukaryota; Parabasalia; Tritrichomonadida; Simplicimonadidae.
UUGCGAUUGUUUCACCGGAUUACGAUUUACGGUGGAAAAGUUGACCCUUACGGGCACACCAUUCGGUUGAGCGACCUAUCAGCUUGUACUUAGGGUCUUUGCCUAUGUAGGCUAUCACGGGUAACGGGCGGUUACCGUCGGACUGCCGGAGAAGGCGCCUGAGAGAUAGCGACUAUAUCCACGGGUAGCAGCAGGCGCGAAACUUACCCACUCGAGACUUUCGGAGGUGGUAAUGACCAGUUCCAUGUCAACCUUAUGGUUA